CCUACGGGUGGCAGCAGUGAGGAAUAUUGGUCAAUGGACGCAAGUCUGAACCAGCCAUGCCGCGUGCAGGAUGACGGCUCUAUGAGUUGUAAACUGCUUUUGUACGAGGGUAAACCCCGAUACGUGUAUCGGGUUGAAAGUAUCAUACGAAUAAGGAUCGGCUAACUCCGUGCCAGCAGCCGCGGUAAUACGGAGGAUCCGAGCGUUAUCCGGAUUUAUUGGGUUUAAAGGGUGCGUAGGCGGUUGGUUAAGUUAGAGGUGAAAGGUCGGGGCUCAACCCCGAAAUUGCAUCUAAUACUGUUGGACUAGAGAAUAGCUGAGGUAGGCGGAAUGUAUGGUGUAGCGGUGAAAUGCUUAGAGAUCAUACAGAACACCGAUUGCGAAGGCAGCUUACCAAACUAUAUCUGACGUUGAGGCACGAAAGCGUGGGUAGCAAACAGGAUUAGAUACCCGAGUAGUC
This 460-nucleotide ribosomal RNA is filed under the name uncultured bacterium. RNAcentral's name for it is "partial 16S ribosomal RNA". It matches the Rfam family "Bacterial small subunit ribosomal RNA", at positions 338 to 795 of the family's 1533-position model. The record is from RNAcentral.